AUCAGGUGUGCAUGUGCCUAUAGUCCCAGCUACUGGGGAGGGCGAGGUGGGAAGACCAUCUGAGCCCAGGAGUUCUGGGCUUUAGUGCACUAUGCUAAUUGGGUGUCCACACUAAAUUUGGCAUCAACGUGGUGACCUCCCAGGAGUGAGGAAUCACUAGUUUGCCUAAGGAGGGGUGAACUGGCCCAGAUCAGAAAUGAAGCACUUCCGUGCUGGUGAGGGAUCAUGCCUGUGAAUAGCCAUUGCACUGCAGCCUGGGCAACAAGAGUGAAACUCCGUCUAA
Pongo abelii (Sumatran orangutan) is the source of this 283-nucleotide unclassified non-coding RNA. It matches the Rfam family "Metazoan signal recognition particle RNA". Rfam says of the family: The signal recognition particle (SRP) is a universally conserved ribonucleoprotein. It is involved in the co-translational targeting of proteins to membranes. NCBI's taxonomy places the organism in Eukaryota, Metazoa, Chordata, Mammalia, Primates, Hominidae. The record is from Ensembl.